GAUGAACGCUGGCGGCGUGCCUAAUACAUGCAAGUCGAGCGAACGGACGAGAAGCUUGCUUCUCUGAUGUUAGCGGCGGACGGGUGAGUAACACGUGGAUAACCUACCUAUAUGACUGGGAUAACUUCGGGAAACCGGAGCUAAUACCGGAUAAUAUUUUGAACCGCAUGGUUCAAAAGUGAAAGACGGUCUUGCUGUCACUUAUAGCUGGAUCCGCGCUGCAUUAGCUAGUUGGUAAGGUAACGGCUUACCAAGGCAACGAUGCAUAGCCGACCUGGGAGGGUGAUCGGCCACACGGGAACUGAGACACGGUCCAGACUCCUACGGGAGGCAGCAGUAGGGAAUCUUCCGCAAUGGGCGAAAGCCUGACGGAGCAACGCCGCGUGAGUGAUGAAGGUCUUCGGAUCGUAAAACUCUGUUAUUAGGGAAGAACAGAUGUGGAAGGAACUGUGCACAUCUUGACGGUACCUAAUCAGAAAGCCACGGCUAACUACGUG
Molecule: ribosomal RNA, 497 nt
Filed under: uncultured bacterium
Lineage: Bacteria
Description: partial 16S ribosomal RNA
Rfam family: Bacterial small subunit ribosomal RNA
Source: RNAcentral